AUGGCCCUCCUCGCCGCCCGCCGCGCCGCCGUGCUUGCCCGCCCCACCGCCGCCGCGGCACUUCUCCGCCACGCGCCUGCCGGGGCGCGGUUCUCGUCGUUGGCGGACUGCAGAGCCUUGGUUCGAGGCCUCCGCGACAUCUCCGAAUACCUCCGCGCCGAGAAGGAACACUCUUCCGCCCCCUCCGCCGCCGCGCUCCGCGCCAAGUCCGAUUCCCUCCGCGCCGCCACCCACGACGGAGAGAUCGUCGGCGUCCUCAACUCCGUGAUCCAGUCCCACCACCGCGACCUGAUUAGGGGGAUUCCGAAGGACUUCCCUUUCGAAAUCAGCAAAACGGAUGGGAUUCCCGACAUUACUCUUACAAGAAGUUUGAAGGGCGAGCAGAUUGAGGUCUUGGUUUCCAUGCACCAGGAUGAGGAGUGCAACGUUGGCCUGCAGGAAGACUCAAAUCAGGAAGGCAAAGCCGAGACCUCCCCAGAAGAAUACAGCAUUCCUGUCAGGGUCAUUGUAUCCAAGGCCGACGGCUCAAGCCUAGAAUUCACCUGCACAGCUAACCCUGAUAAUAUCGUCAUCGAGACCUUGUCCAUGAGGCAGAAGAAGUCAACAGGGGCAGAGGAAGCAGACGAUGUGGUUGCGUCGGAGGGCACGGAAAAUGAUCUAGCUGUAUAUGAUGAGGGUCCUCAUUUCCAUGAGCUGGACAAGAGCCUGCAGGAGGCAUUCCAUAAGUAUCUGGAGGUGCGUGGAGUCACACCCAUGACGGCGAAGUUGUUGCGCGGGCACAUGAUGAGCGAGGACAGCCACCUUUCGCCAAAAGAGAAGAGUGACGUCAGGCGCAGGCGUCUCGUCUGGCUGUUGAAGCUGUGGGAUUUCGUCAAGAAAGAUUAA
RNAcentral lists this ribosomal RNA (885 nucleotides) under Triticum aestivum (bread wheat). RNAcentral's name for it is "partial small subunit ribosomal RNA". The record is from RNAcentral. Lineage: Eukaryota; Viridiplantae; Streptophyta; Magnoliopsida; Poales; Poaceae.